This 459-nucleotide ribosomal RNA is filed under the name uncultured bacterium. RNAcentral's name for it is "partial 16S ribosomal RNA". It matches the Rfam family "Bacterial small subunit ribosomal RNA", at positions 338 to 795 of the family's 1533-position model. The record is from RNAcentral.
CCUCCGGGUGGCAGCAGUGAGGAAUAUUGGUCAAUGGGAGAGAUCCUGAACCAGCCAAGCCGCGUGAUGGAAGACGGCCCUAUGGGUUGUAAACCUCUUUUGUCGGAGAACAAAACCCGGGACGUGUCCCGGACUGCGUGUAUCCGAAGAAAAAGCAUCGGCUAACUCCGUGCCAGCACCCGCGGUAAUACGGGGGAUGCGAGCGUUAUCCGGAUUUAUUGGGUUAAACGGGUGCGUGGGCGGUCCGUUAUGUCAGCGGUAAAAUUGCGGGGCUAAACCCCGCCGAGCCGUUGAAACUGGCAGACUUGAGUUGGCGAGAAGUACGCGGAAUGCGCGGUGUAGCGGUGAAAUGCAUAGAUAUCGCGAGGAACUCCGAUUGCGAAGGCGGCGUACCGGCGCCAGACUGACGCUGAGGCACGAAAGCGUGGGGAUCGAACAGGAUUAGAUACCCGGGUAGUC